GUCGAGCGGUAACAGGGGUAGCUUGCUACCCGCUGACGAGCGGCGGACGGGUGAGUAAUGCAUAGGAAUCUGCCCGAUAGUGGGGGAUAACCUGGGGAAACCCAGGCUAAUACCGCAUACGUCCUACGGGAGAAAGGGGGCUCCGGCUCCCGCUAUUGGAUGAGCCUAUGUCGGAUUAGCUAGUUGGUAAGGUAAUGGCUUACCAAGGCAACGAUCCGUAGCUGGUCUGAGAGGAUGAUCAGCCACAUCGGGACUGAGACACGGCCCGAACUCCUACGGGAGGCAGCAGUGGGGAAUAUUGGACAAUGGGGGCAACCCUGAUCCAGCCAUGCCGCGUGUGUGAAGAAGGCCCUCGGGUUGUAAAGCACUUUCAGCGAGGAAGAACGCCUAUCGGUUAAUACCCGGUAGGAAAGACAUCACUCGCAGAAGAAGCACCGGCUAACUCCGUGCCAGCAGCCGCGGUAAUACGGAGGGUGCAAGCGUUAAUCGGAAUUACUGGGCGUAAAGCGCGCGUAGGUGGCUUGAUAAGCCGGUUGUGAAAGCCCCGGGCUCAACCUGGGAACGGCAUCCGGAACUGUCAGGCUAGAGUGCAGGAGAGGAAGGUAGAAUUCCCGGUGUAGCGGUGAAAUGCGUAGAGAUCGGGAGGAAUACCAGUGGCGAAGGCGGCCUUCUGGACUGACACUGACACUGAGGUGCGAAAGCGUGGGGUAGCAAACAGGAUUAGAUACCCUGGUAGUCCACGCCGUAAACGAUGUCGACCAGCCGUUGGGUGCCUAGAGCAUUUUGUGGCGAAGUUAACGCGAUAAGUCGACCGCCUGGGGAGUACGGCCGCAAGGUUAAAACUCAAAUGAAUUGACGGGGGCCCGCACAAGCGGUGCAGCAUGUGUUUUAUUUCGAUGCAACGCGAAGAACCUUACCUACCCUUG
Molecule: ribosomal RNA, 926 nt
Filed under: Vreelandella titanicae
Lineage: Bacteria; Pseudomonadati; Pseudomonadota; Gammaproteobacteria; Oceanospirillales; Halomonadaceae
Description: bacterial SSU rRNA
Rfam family: Bacterial small subunit ribosomal RNA
Source: RNAcentral